UACGGGGGGGGCAAGCGUUGUUCGGAAUUACUGGGCGUAAAGGGCUCGUAGGUGGCCAACUAAGUCAGACGUGAAAUCCCCAGGCUUAACCUGGGAACUGCGUCUGAUACUGGAUGGCUUGAAUCCGGGAGAGGGAUGCGGAAUUCCAGGUGUAGCGGUGAAAUGCGUAGAUAUCAGGAAGAACACCGAUGGCGAAGGCAGCUCUCUGGGACGGUACUGACGCUGAGACGCGAAAGCGUGGGGAGCGAACAGG
Molecule: ribosomal RNA, 253 nt
Filed under: uncultured bacterium
Lineage: Bacteria
Description: partial 16S ribosomal RNA
Rfam family: Bacterial small subunit ribosomal RNA
Source: RNAcentral